UCCGCGGCCCGGGAUCGCAGCUCGCGGGUGUGCAGGGGGAGGCCUGCGGGCGUGGAGCGGAAAAGCCUUUCCUGAGGGCGGGAAAGUUGAGGUCGCCUCGGGACUGGUGCCUUUAGUCAAAGCGCAUGAAGAUAGCUAACUUCAGGUGCGGACGGAGGGGGAGCCUAAUGAAGAUUCACUCACCUGCAGCUAAUAGGAAGGAAGGUGUGAGUCCCAUAGAACCUGGGCUGUGGUGAGCAAGGUGAAAACCACGACAUGGAAACGCUAGCAAAAUUGGAGUCUUCUUGGAAAUAACUAGGAAUUGAAUCCCACGUCUUUCUGUAAAAACAAAACAAAAACCCGAGGUAUCUACAUAGAGAAAUUGUUGGCUGAGGGAAAAAGACGAGACUGUGAAUCUGGACUGAAGUUGCCACCUAACAGAGCAGAGCUCCUGGCUGCAGUUUGUUUUGGGGUUUGAGGAGGGGAAAAAAACCGGUUUGAGUGCAACCUGAAUGGAUGGCAACUUUCCAAAUUGCAAAUCGAUUCACGAAAAAUCUUCCACAGACUGCUGCACUCAAUUCCCAGGGAUUGUUUCUGAAUCUGAAAAGGAGGCUACAGUCUGCGUGAACGCUUGAGAGGCCAGGACAGGUCUGGUGCCCUGUUGUGGGCUUGCUGGAUGAACUGAAGGCCUUUAAAGAACAUCUCUAGUAAAGAUCCUGCAGACUGACUGACUAGGACAUCGGAAUCGUGGGAGAACAAAUGUAGCCAAGAGCCAAAUGAUCACGAUUUUAGGCCUGUUUAAAAAGUAUAGUGUGUGCGUGCAUGUGUGUGCGUGUGUGUGCGUGUGUGUGCAUGUGCUUUUUAGCUGCUGAGCCAUCUAAGCCAGCCUUGCUUUUAGUAGCCAGCUUUAACUUCUUUUUUUUAAAGAUUCAUUUGUUUUAUGUAUACAAGUGCUCUAUCUGCAUGUACAACUUUCUGUGAGAAGAGGACAUCAGAUCCCACUCCAGAUGACUGUGAGCCACCUGUAGGUGCUGGGAAUUGAACUCAGGUUCUCUGGAAAAGCAGCCAGUGCUCUUAGCCGCUGAGCCAGCUCUCCAGCCCCACUUUAACUUUUAACAUCCUCCUAACUGAUAAACUUCCCGAGAGCACCACAACGUUUAGCUCCAUCAAGCCUACAACUAAGAUGGCUGUGGCAGCACAUCUGAAGUGUGGAAUUUCCCACUUUGCAGGUUUGCUGUGGGGCCCAUCUACUUGAUAUUCCCACAAAUAAAACUGGUCAACAUGGCAAUUUUUUUUAUUUUGGGGCUACUGUUCUCUUCCAGGUAGAACCAGGCAUUUAGGAUGAACUGACUCCUCCUUGUUUCUGGACAAGGCUGUUCUUUCCUAUCAGCAGCUGGGAAGCAAACCCACCGAGGAGAUGGCAUUUUGGCGAGAAGAGUCUAUAUUAAUAUACGAAAAUGACCACAGGCACAGCCGUAAUCUACCGAAUGUUCUCAGUCAGAAAAAAUCCUAGAAUGGUGGCUUUCAGAAUUGUGUCCUGCGCCCAGGACCAAAGUGUGCAUCCUCUCAAGACUUAGCGUCCUGCACUAUUUUUAAAACGCAAAAAAAAAAAAAAAAUUUUUUUUGACGUAUCUUAAGAGUGUCAUGAAACACUUUGUAGUUUCACUUCCUGUUUGGCUCCCUGCUCUGCUAUGGUGGGCUUGUCUGGCUUUCGCUCCAGCAACACCGCUGCCUGAGAGGACAGACUUGAAAAGCCCAAAAUGGCUGGCUAUCCCCAGCUAGCAAUGGGCAGAGGGGAAGCUGGAGUUUGGAAUGAACUGCAUGGAUUUAAAAAGAACUCUAGGAAACCAGGCGGUGGUGGUGCACGCCUUAAUCCCAGCACUCAGGAGGCAGAGGCAGGUCUCUGUGAGUUCCAGGCCAGCCUGAUUUACAGAGCUCCAGGACAGGCUCCAAAGCUUCAUAGAGAACCCCCGUCUUGGAAGGGGAAAAAAAAAAGAGCUCCAGACCAGGAAUGGUAGCUCACACCUUUAAACUGGUCUACAUUAGUGAAUUUGUGGUCAGCCAGGGCUAUAUAGUGAGAUUUUGUUUUUUGUUUUAUUAAGAUGAAACAAAAAUAUCAGAGCUGAGUAUGAUAGUAUAUGAAUCCUAGCACUUGGGAGAUUGAGACGGAGGAAUAUUUUGAGCUGAGGACAAUCAAUCUAUGCUAUCUAGUAAGACUACUUAAAACAAAAACAAACCAAAACCAGAAAAAGGACUAGGCAGGCCAAUGGCAGUUGUCCAAGCUCAGCCUCCAGAGGCUGGGAUCACAAGCCUGCGUUUCCUUACAAAUUUUGGAGAACAUUUCUGAGUGCAAGUGCCCAGCAGGGUUUCUUUGAGUCUCUAAAUAACUGGAGUCAGGUGACUUCUCUGUGCCUUUGAAAAGAGGGUGUGUGGGAAAGAGCAAUUACUCUAGAACAAAGGUGGGGAGCAGAACACAAUUGAAGCGGGUGGUGACUUUGUAUAGGGGUUUUGU
Long non-coding RNA from Alexandromys fortis (reed vole), 2491 nucleotides. RefSeq lists it as uncharacterized. Lineage: Eukaryota; Metazoa; Chordata; Mammalia; Rodentia; Cricetidae. The record is from RefSeq and is a predicted model, not a curated record. The transcript has 2 exons.